AAUCAAAUUAAGGGGCUAUUUUGUAGUGUAUAGAAAAUUUGUGAGGGUAUUGAUGAAAAUACAUUGGAGGGUAAAUUCGGUAUUUUAAAUUUGUUAUGCCUAAACACGACGGAAUGAUAGUUAUAAGGGCAUUUUUGAAAGUUUUUAUAUUUUUUGAGGGCAAAUAUGAAAUUUUCAAAUUUGAAAGGGUAUUUAUGAUAUUAGAGCUAUUUGGAAGGGUAGUGAGGAAAAUUUUCCUUUAUUUUUUACCUCCUCUUGCUUUUUGUUUAUUCUCUCUCUAUCUCUCUUGACAAGGGAUGGGUUCUUCACCAACCUCGCCUUUGGAAUGGGCGAAUUUCUUGCCGCAUCUUCUAUGAAUCUAUAUCCCUAACCCUAACUAUUGCUUUCGUACAGACAGAUUCCCACGCGAGCAGAGAGAGCGAGAGAAAGUGGGAGGAAAAUUUCAAAACUUUAGGGAGCAGAAAGUGCAGUGCUAGAAAUCCUAG
RNAcentral lists this long non-coding RNA (485 nucleotides) under Ananas comosus (pineapple). RNAcentral's name for it is "long non-coding RNA (ACOM_LNC032122)". The record is from RNAcentral. Lineage: Eukaryota; Viridiplantae; Streptophyta; Magnoliopsida; Poales; Bromeliaceae.